RNAcentral lists this ribosomal RNA (1492 nucleotides) under metagenome. Its description in RNAcentral is "bacterial SSU rRNA". It matches the Rfam family "Bacterial small subunit ribosomal RNA". The record is from RNAcentral.
GUUUGAUCCUGGCUCAGAUUGAACGCUGGCGGCAUGCCUUACACAUGCAAGUCGAACGGCAGCACGGGAGCUUGCUCCUGGUGGCGAGUGGCGAACGGGUGAGUAAUACAUCGGAACGUACCCUGAAGUGGGGGAUAACGUAGCGAAAGUUACGCUAAUACCGCAUAUUCUGUGCGCAGGAAAGAGGGGGAUCGCAUACCUCUUGCCUUAGGAGCGGCCGAUGUCGGAUUAGCUAGUUGGUGAGGUAAAGGCUCACCAAGGCGACGAUCCGUAGCGGGUCUGAGAGGAUGAUCCGCCACACUGGGACUGAGACACGGCCCAGACUCCUACGGGAGGCAGCAGUGGGGAAUUUUGGACAAUGGGCGCAAGCCUGAUCCAGCCAUGCCGCGUGAGUGAAGAAGGCCUUCGGGUUGUAAAGCUCUUUCGGUGGGGAAGAAAUGGCACGGGCCAAUACCCUGUGUUGAUGACGGUACCCGCACAAGAAGCACCGGCUAACUACGUGCCAGCAGCCGCGGUAAUACGUAGGGUGCGAGCGUUAAUCGGAAUUACUGGGCGUAAAGCGUGCGCAGGCGGUUGUAUAAGUCAGAUGUGAAAUCCCCGGGCUCAACCUGGGAACUGCAUUUGAGACUGUACGGCUAGAGUUUGGCAGAGGGGGGUGGAAUUCCACGUGUAGCAGUGAAAUGCGUAGAGAUGUGGAGGAACACCGAUGGCGAAGGCAGCCCCCUGGGCCAAUACUGACGCUCAUGCAAAAGCGUGGGGAGCAAACAGGAUUAGAUACCCUGGUAGUCCACGCCCUAAACGAUGUCAACUAGGUGUUGGAAGGGUUAAACCUUUUAGUGCCGUAGCUAACGCGUGAAGUUGACCGCCUGGGGAGUACGGCCGCAAGGCUAAAACUCAAAGGAAUUGACGGGGACCCGCACAAGCGGUGGAUGAUGUGGAUUAAUUCGAUGCAACGCGAAAAACCUUACCUACCCUUGACAUGUCAGGAAUCCCGGAGAGAUUUGGGAGUGCUCGAAAGAGAACCUGAACACAGGUGCUGCAUGGCUGUCGUCAGCCCGUGUCGUGAGAUGUUGGGUUAAGUCCCGCAACGAGCGCAACCCUUGUCAUUAAUUGCCAUCAUUGAGUUGAGCACUUUAAUGAGACUGCCGGUGACAAACCGGAGGAAGGUGGGGAUGACGUCAAGUCCUCAUGGCCCUUAUGGGUAGGGCUUCACACGUCAUACAAUGGUCGGUUCAGAGGGUUGCCAACCCGCGAGGGGGAGCCAAUCUCAGAAAGCCGAUCGUAGUCCGGAUUGGAGUCUGCAACUCGACUCCAUGAAGUCGGAAUCGCUAGUAAUCGCGGAUCAGCAUGUCGCGGUGAAUACGUUCCCGGGUCUUGUACACACCGCCCGUCACACCAUGGGAGCGGGUUCUGCCAGAAGUAGUUAGCCUAACCGCAAGGAGGGCGGUUACCACGGCAGGGUUCGUGACUGGGGUGAAGUCGUAACAAGGUA